CGCCCUCCCUCCGCCGCCACUCAGACUCCGUACGGGACGGCGAGCGAGUAGGAAUAUUGCACAAGUACGGGGGAAACCCGUAGAGUGCAGCGACGCCGCGUGAGUGAUGAAGGACGUUCGGUUUGUAAAGCUCUGUUCUUAGGGAAUAAAAAAUAGAAUGUACCUGAGGAGAAAGCACCGGCUAACUUCGUGCCAGCAGCCGCGGUAAUAC
This 211-nucleotide ribosomal RNA is filed under the name uncultured bacterium. RNAcentral's name for it is "partial 16S ribosomal RNA". It matches the Rfam family "Bacterial small subunit ribosomal RNA", at positions 305 to 526 of the family's 1533-position model. The record is from RNAcentral.